UGCCAUCCCCACUCCUGUCUCUUUGCUCCCUCUGUUCUUCUUCUCUCUUCUCCCUCUGUUCCUCAUCCUUCUUUUCUCUCUCUUGGCUCGCUUCUACCCCGAGCAACACAACCACCACGUUCUCCGGCGAUUUCGAACACCAAAUCACCACCAUCCUCGUCCCAACCUCACACUAAACAUGGAACUAGAACCCAGAGUCUCAGAACUUAGACUCGAACCUCAAAUCAAAGAACCAGAGCUCCGUCUCAAAUCCGAGAGAGUUUCGGCGAGUUCAUUGCUUUCCCUACCGAAGUAAGGUCCGAAGUCGCUCUUCACUUAUUUCUCUCAUAUUUAAGGCUCUUCCCUCAUUUCUUCCAAGCAAAUCCCAGCCAUGCCAUCAGAAUUAGUAGAGCCACAACCCAAAAUCACUUUCAUCGUUGCAGAUCCGUUGCAUCCUCCUGUAUUUUUUUUUUGUAACGCUGCAACCCAAAACUCAUAAAUUGUAAAUCUGACGCAACCAUGGAGUCUUAGCAAUUCCUUGAGCUUAGUACCACCUCAGUGCUGCAAUCGACACCCAAAAGGACUUUCUCUCCUUCAUCUUCACUGCAAAUCCCAACGCAAAUCCGUCUAUACAAGAAGUGUCUCAUAGAUCCUUACGCCCUCGAAGGUAAAAUUCAUCCCUGCAAUUAUUUGAGCCUGUACUUGGCUGAUCUGUAAAUGUGCUGCUUGUGCAUGCCGAAAAUAUGAAUUAGGCUAUGUCUCGCAUAAAUCUGUGAAAGUAGUCCUUUCUGAUUUCAGCGUGUUCAUGCAUCAGUGGUUUUAGUCUACUGUCUGCAAGCUCAUGAAUGUGUUCUGUAUAUUGCAUGUCUCCAUUGAUGAACACAUGAGGUCAAUUUGUGUGUAAUUUGAGAUGGAAUGUGGAAGUGGUUUGAAUUUAUGGUGUAUUUAUUCUGGUGUCUGACGACUAUACUUAAAUCACAUGACUCUAGAUUUAACAUUCUACCUACUUAUAUCAUGAAUACAAUUUUUAAGAAUGAGUUUUCAAAAUUGCAGGUGAUAUUGUGAACUUAUUCAAAUCAUUUUAGAGAAAAUACAUCUACUUUGAUAUUCAUGUAUUUUCCUUUCAUUUUCGUUGUUCUUGUAAGUUGUGUGGUUUCUUUAUCUUUGAGGUUUUUAUUCAUAACCUUAGCAGGAAGAGGCCCAUAUUCUAUAUAGAACGGCUGAUUAAUUUAUUUGUGGAACAAGAUGGGAUGAAGUAAAAGCUUUCUGGGAAAAAUUCAAGUGUUCAGAAAUGCUUGUUUUCAUUUUCAUAUGAAUUGAUUGUUUGUAGAACUAAAUUGUAAUAGCAUUUUUGUAAUAUUUGAAUUUUUAUUUUAAUAUUUUACCUAUUGGGCACAAAAACAAAACUGUGUUAACAUGGCUUGGAAAAAGUCAGUGUUGUCAAACUGUCAGAGCUGAGAAACAAAAGAACCUCUAUUUGUGCUGAGCUUUUUGGGCAUCAAAGACCAUAUUGUGCCCAAUGGUCAAGGGUGACGACCAUAGAGGGCACAUACACAAAGAUAAUAGCUGCAUUGUUACUAUUGGUCUAUGGGCACAAUUGUUGGUGCUUUUUGGCCUCAAAGGGCACAGAUAAUUUAUUGUGUACAAUGCUCAUUUUUGUUGUAGUGUAUAUAAUUGGAAACCAUUCAUUUUCUCAGUCUUCAUUUGAAUAUCAUCCCUAUUAAAACA
This is a long non-coding RNA of Malus domestica (apple), 1707 nucleotides long. RefSeq lists it as uncharacterized. NCBI's taxonomy places the organism in Eukaryota, Viridiplantae, Streptophyta, Magnoliopsida, Rosales, Rosaceae. The record is from RefSeq and is a predicted model, not a curated record.